GUGACGUGGCGUUACCAAGCGCUGAAAUUAAAAGCUGAGAACUUCUACUCAGAUCCAAGGUUGCUUGGAGGGGAUAGAUGGAUAUGGUGAUGGAUGGUUAACGCCGUCCUGUCUUGGCCAAACUCAGCAGUCAGUUGUCCCAUAUGGGCUAAAGAAGCUGGACCAUGUGUUUACGGUCUCUCUUCCUACAGCUGACCACCCCUGCAUCCAUGGGCGGAUAUAAGACCAUGGUGUCUCUGGGCAUAUACAUGUGGAAGCCAUGGGGCCUCCGUAAUCCAUCCAUGCCUGCAUCAUCUUUUGUACCUUCAAUCAACAUCAUAGUGGAUUUUGUUUACCUAACUUUAAGAAUUUGUAUUCUAAGUAAAUCUCUUGCCUGGACCUCCUCCUCACAUUCUUUGAGCCAGUUUGUAACUCCCAUUUUCAUGCACAGAAUUUGUAAAUAUGAUACAUUUUAAAAGCUUUUUGCAAGAGUUUCUUUUAGUACAACUGUAACAUCAUGUUGUUUUUUUCAAUAUGGAUUAUUUUAUUUUAUUUUUUUAUUUGAACUUUAUUUACCCAGGAGAAUCCCUUUGAAACUGUGAAUCUCUUUUUAAGGGAGACCUGACCAAGACAGGCAGCAGCAAAUAAAAACACAGACAGAAAACACUACAAGAAAUAAAAUAAAAUUAAAGCUGCGAAGCAGCGUUGGUAGGGACCUCGGCCCCUCGCCGUCGUCCCCCAAAACCAAACUACUGACGAGGAAAUCAAUCAAUCACAUUAAUAUCACAAAUCACAAUUUGCCUCACAGGGCUUUACAGCACACAACAUCCCUCUGUCCUCAAGACCCAAUGAUACAGAAAGGGAGAGAGAGAUAGAGAUGUAUGACAGAUGAUAAUGACAGUAAAGUUUGUCAGUACUUAGAAUUGGAGUAAAUUGCAGGACAAGUUCGUGUAAUUAUAAAGAAGAGUUUUAUUUACAGGUGUAAAAGGCAUACUGGUGAAUAAGAAAAAUUGCGUCUCGGCAGGUCUUCAGGGUGAUUGUUCAGGCUGUUUCAUUCUGUGUGUCUUCUUCAUCUAUAACAGAGCAGAAUAUUGAGAUAGUUAGGUAGUAUUCAUUCAAUACAGGUACAUGUAAAGGUAGG
This is a long non-coding RNA of Epinephelus moara (kelp grouper), 1120 nucleotides long. RefSeq lists it as uncharacterized. The transcript is spliced from 3 exons. The record is from RefSeq and is a predicted model, not a curated record. Lineage: Eukaryota; Metazoa; Chordata; Actinopteri; Perciformes; Serranidae.